UACCAGCACCCCGAGUGGUCGGGACGAUUAUUGGGCCUAAAGCAUCCGUAGCCGGUCUUGCAAGUCUUCCGUUAAAUCCAGCUGCUUAACAGAUGGGCUGCGGAAGAUACUACAAGACUAGGAGGUGGGAGAGGCAAGCGGUACUCAGUGGGUAGGGGUAAAAUCCUCUGAUCCAUUGAAGACCACCAGUGGCGAAGGCGGCUUGCCAGAACGCGCUCGACGGUGAGGGAUGAAAACUGGGGGAGCAAACCGG
RNAcentral lists this ribosomal RNA (253 nucleotides) under uncultured bacterium. Its description in RNAcentral is "partial 16S ribosomal RNA". It matches the Rfam family "Archaeal small subunit ribosomal RNA", at positions 474 to 727 of the family's 1478-position model. The record is from RNAcentral.